This is a non-coding RNA of Vicugna pacos (alpaca), 2971 nucleotides long. The record is from RefSeq and is a predicted model, not a curated record. Lineage: Eukaryota; Metazoa; Chordata; Mammalia; Artiodactyla; Camelidae.
CCGGGAACCGACGGAGCACCCGGGCGGAGCGGUGAGUUGAGACGAGCUCCUCGGCUCCCAGCCGCCUCCGGGAGCCUCGAGGCCUUCUCGAGGGGCAAAGUGGGAGAGUUAGUUCCGUGUCUGCUAUGGCUGCUACUGUGAACUUGGAACUUGAUCCCAUUUUUUUGAAAGCACUAGGCUUCUUACAUUCAAAGAGUAAGGAUUCUGCUGAAAAGUUGAAAGCACUACUGGAUGAAUCUUUGGCUCGGGGCAUUGAUUCAAGUUACCGUCCUUCUCAAAAGGAUGUGGAGCCACCCAAAAUUUCAAGCACAAAAACUGUUUCCAUUAAGCAAGAGCCCAAAACAACAUCCAGUCUUCCUUCUGGCAAUAAUAAUGGCAAGGUCCUCACAACUGAAAAGGUAAAGAAGGAAGGUGAAAAGAGACCUGCUGAUAAAAUGAAAUCAGAUACCACUGAAGGAGCUGAUAUUCCAAAGAAACCUAAACUGGAGAAACCAGAGACACGCUCCUCCCCCAUUACUGUCCAAACCAGCAAGGAUUUAGCUAUGGCUGACCUUUCCAGCUUUGAGGAGACCAGUGCUGAUGAUUUUGCCAUGGAAAUGGGAUUGGCCUGUGUUGUUUGUAGGCAAAUGACAGUGGCAUCCGGUAAUCAAUUAGUAGAAUGUCAGGAAUGCCAUAAUCUCUACCACCAAGAUUGCCAUAAGCCCCAGGUGACAGACAAGGAAGUGAAUGACCCUCGCCUUGUGUGGUAUUGUGCCCGAUGUACCAGACAAAUGAAAAGAAUGGCUCAAAAAACUCAGAAACCACCACAGAAACCAGCCCCCACGGUUGUUUCUGUAGCUCCAGCUGUCAAAGAUCCUUUGGUUAAGAAACCAGAAACUAAACUCAAACAAGAGACAACUUUCCUAGCAUUUAAGAGAACAGAAGUCAAGACAUCCACGGUUAUUUCGGGAAAUUCUUCUAGUACCAAUGUUUCCUCUUCAGUAACUAGUGGCCUAACUGGAUGGGCAGCUUUUGCAGCCAAAACUUCUUCUGCUGGUCCAUCAACAGCAAAAUUGAAUUCAACAACCCAAAACAAUAGCGGGAAACCUGCUACCUCAUCAGCUAACCAGAAGCCUGUGGGUUUAACUGGUCUGGCAACAUCAUCCAAAAGUGGAAUAGGUUCUAAAAUAGGUUCCAGUAACAGCACUUCACCCACUGUACCACUGAAACCACCUCCACCUCUAACUUUGGGCAAAACUGGCCUUAGUCGCUCAGUUAGUUGUGACAAUGUUAGCAAAGUAGGUCUUCCCAGUCCAAGUAGUUUGGUUCCAGGAAGCAGCAGCCAACUAAGUGGGAAUGGAAAUAGUGGAACAUCGGGAUCUAGUGGAAGUACCACUAACAAAACCGCUUCAGAAUCGAGCAGCUCGCCCUCAGCAUCCCUUAAAGGUCCAACUUCACAAGAAUCACAGCUCAAUGCCAUGAAGCGAUUACAGAUGGUCAAGAAGAAGGCCGCCCAAAAGAAACUCAAGAAGUAAUAUGGCCAAGAAUUACAUUACCAUUACCAUUCAGUAUGCCUCUCUCUCUCUCAUAAUUGGAGAGACUGCAUAUCAGCCUAUCAUCACAGUGGUAAUAAACAUGUAAUUAUAGUACACGUAAUUUUUGCCACCUGCUUUUUCACUUCAAAAUAUAUUUUAAAAUCUUUUCAUUUCAAUAUAUAGGUCUUGAAAGCAUCAUUUUCAUGACUACUUAAAUACAUUAUGUUACUGUCUGCUGACUUUUGAUGCACUUUGUAAAUAAUGGCAUACUAAACAUAUAGCAUUAUUAUGAUAAGCAAUUGAAAAAAUGUAAAGAUGAGGGACUAGACAAUGAAUCUAGAGUUAGCAGAACAGCUUUUUAAAAGUCAAAAAUUGUGUUCUCAGUAUUAUUUAUGUGAAAAAAAGAAAAGAGCACUGAUUCUCAGAUAUUGCUUCCCUCUAAAGCUGGUUUUAGCCAUUAUUAAACCUGAUCCUCUUUGAGAAGUAUCAAAGAUUGUUAUCACAUUUGUCCAGCAUCCUGCUCACCAAACAAGGCAUCUUAGAUAGUAUGGUAGGAGAAUUCUAAGACUGACCCCAAGAUUACCACCUCCUGUUGAGCAUGUUCUAUAUAACCCCCUAUGUGAAUAUGAUGGGAUUUCACUCCUAUGAUUAGGUUACAUUAUUUACAAAGGUAAAGGGAUUUUUGCAGAGGUGCCUAAUAAGGUCCCUAAUAUGCUGACUUUGAGUUAGUUGAAGACUAUCCUGAGUGGGCCUGACAUAAUCAGGUAAGCCUUUAAAAGAGAGUCCAGAUCUUCUCUGAAGGGAGAGAGCUGAAAUGAGAGAGGUGCUCUCCUACCGGCUUUGAAGAAGCCAAAGCCAUGUCGUGAACUGCCUAUGGAGACAGCCACGUAGCAAGGAUCUGAGAGCAGCCUGGUUGAAAGUGGUCCUUGGCUGACAGCCAGCAAGAAAAUGGAAGCCUUGGUGCUACUGGAACAAGGAACCAAAUUUUGCCAACAACCACAAGCUUGGAAAAGAACUCUGAGUUUCAGAAAGGAGCACAGCCAAGCCAAACGUCUAGACUGCAGCCAUAGGAGCUACUAAGUGGAGCACCCAGCUAAGCUGUGCCUGGACUGCUGGCCAUGGAAAUGGUCUGACUCAUUGAAAAUGAACAUCAUAUUAACGCCCAGCUCCAUACCAGCAUAUGCAUAUGCUCCAACCCUAUGCAGUCAUGGCUCCAGCCGCCUACCCCUCUGACCUUCAGAAACUCCGCUGUCGAAGGGCGUGAGCUCCUCAAAGGCCGAGGUUCAUUAACCUCCCACAUUAAGGAAAUCCCUGAUACUGGAAAAAAGCCCCUUCUCUCUCUCUCAGGUGAUACACAUGCUAUCUGGGGUCCCUAGAGUGACACAUCAAGACCUAACUCAUGAAAAAACAACUGCAUCUGACAUAAGGAGACUUCACGUCCAUCCUACGUUGGUCUU